GAUGGGGCUAGCUGGUG
Molecule: microRNA, 17 nt
Filed under: Macrophomina phaseolina MS6
Lineage: Eukaryota; Fungi; Ascomycota; Dothideomycetes; Botryosphaeriales; Botryosphaeriaceae
Description: miR-4316
Source: RNAcentral